GAAUGUCCGCUGUGCACAGAUAAGCAAUCUUGAGGGCCUCCCCCAUUUCAUGUUCUGGUCCUGUAUCACGAAUUUUUGAAUCAAUAGCUUUUAGCCCUUGGUUCUUCCUUACCAAUCCUCUAACCCAACUCACCAAAGUUGCAUCGUUUUCUUCAGGAUAAUCAUCUCCGACCGGCUUUUUCCCAGUAAUUAGCUCAAACAAAACAACUCCAUAGCAAUAGACAUCGGAUUUUGGUGUUGGGCAGUUGUUAUCUGGAUCUGAAAACUCUGGAGGAACAUAACCUGGUGAGCCACGAGCAAUCUCCUCAUCUAAACCACUGCCAAAGACCUUGCCCAGUCCAAAAUCAGAUAACCUUGGCUCCAGUUUAUAAUCCAGGUAAACACUGCUAGCUUUAACGUCUCUAUGAAUAAGUGGGGGUGAGCAACCAUGAUGAAGAAAUGCCAAUGCACGAGCAGUGCCAAGAGCAAUUUUGUGUCGAAAUCUCCAGGUUGUUAAUAACC
This 501-nucleotide unclassified non-coding RNA is filed under the name Hevea brasiliensis (rubber tree). Lineage: Eukaryota; Viridiplantae; Streptophyta; Magnoliopsida; Malpighiales; Euphorbiaceae. The record is from RNAcentral.